AGUGAGUAAAUAAUAUAUGAACUGGCCGUCUAGCACGUUCGGAAGAGAGUAAAGGGAGCAGGUUUAUGGGCACGAUAGCAUAGAUUAAAGACAUAGUGUACAGACAAAGGUAAGGUAGGAUGUGAGUACAUUGGAGGUAAAUCUAGGCAUUGAGUAAUGAUGAGAGAGAUAUAGUCUCUAGAGACGUUUAAACCAGGUGAUGUCAUCGUAUAUGUAGGUGGAACAACAUGGUUGGUUAAGGCCUAUUGAGCAAGGCUAGAGGCUCUACAGUGAAAUAAGACCACAGUCACUAACCUGGACAGUAAUGGGCGAGGCAUAUUGAUAUUAGAGAGAGGCAUGCAUAGCCAAGUGAACAUAUGGGUCCAGUGAGUGGUUGGGCUGACUGGGAACAUGGCGAUUCAGACAGUUAGCAGGCCGAUGCUAACACGCUAACAGUUAGUAGGCCGGGGCUAAACAAGCUAGCAGUUAGCAGACCGGGUUAGCAAGCAAGCAGUUAGCAGGGGAUAGCAGUUAGUAGACCGGGGCUAGCAAGUUAGCCUUUGGGGGAUGUCGCGGUGGGGGUAAGUCUGUUUUUGCCGAUACACCAGUGAUCUGAGAUCACUUGAAAAGUUGAAAAUCUGCCACAGAAGAGGCAUCAAGCUAACCACACUGCCAAAGACCUUGUCGAAACUAAGAUGUUUGAAAGAACUGGACUUCUCAGACAACGUAGGGUAGCAGAUUCCUGAGAGCAUCGGAUUCCUGAGAACAAGCACAUCUUACAAAAGGCUUUCCGGUCUCUGGCCAAUAACUUACAGGGCGAUGACGUAAGAUACACACUGAGGAGUUUAAGUCCAAAGAGAAUAAACGGGCAUCCCAGAAGGAAAAAACCAUGCAGGCCCUGACUCUGUGGAUAGACUUAUUCCAUAGUGACCAGGAGGCAUCUGUCAUAGCUGACCAACUUGUGAGGACUCUGAUCUUGGCAGGCCUAUACGCACUCUACUCUCAGGUUCAGGCCAUCAAGAUAUAUGCCAAAGCCAGAAGACAAUGAAUACACUAUGCCAAAUGUGCUAUAUGAAUAGAGGCAUAGUUCAUGACAUUUUGAAGUUGGAAAGUGAGAGGAGUCAUUUGUUUUUCAUAAAUGUAACAUUUACCAAGUGAAUCCAUACCAAAGUAUUGAUUAUUGUUUGACCAUGAGAAUAAAUGCAAUUGGAUAUGCAUCAACAUUGUGUGAAAGUGGUUAUUGAUGGAUUACAAAAUCAAUUAUAAUCAUUCAAAAUCAUAACAGUAACCUACACAAACAUAGCCUACAUCUAGGCAUAUUGCUUUGUAACGUUCACUGGUCUAAAAAAAUCGAUUGAAUUUGACACCCUUUAGUGACUACAGUAGCUACAUCUAUACCUAUUCUACGCUGUAUGUAGUUCAACCAAUGUGAUUCUCCUAUUGGGGCAGUGACAUCAUAUAGCCAGACAUCAGUCCAGGUAGUGAUAGCCAACCAGAGUGCAGGAAGGCAGCUGCGGAGCGUGGAGUUUAUUUGACGGACACACAGCACCUAGCAAAUGAAAUGGCUUUAUUUGUUAGGCGGGGGCACGACUAACUUCACAUCUACAGGUGGAGAUGCCAAGGAAACAAUACAAUCUGUCACGUAAUUUCAUUUAGUGCUAUAAUGAGAAUGGAUGAAACUAUGCCUUUGGACUAAAGAGGGAUUUUACUGAGCACUGGGGAACACUAUUUUCUGCGAAUACUAAUAGCCUGGGGCCUUCUGGAAAACCGAAUUAGAUGUGGUAGAAGCGACACCACAACCGUGUAACAGAUUUGUUGCAAAUUCAAGGAGCCUGGCGCAGUAGCCUACAAUAUUUUACAACAUUUUUAAAGAAACAUAAGACGUAACAAUGGCUAUGCAUUUAUAUCAAGUUAGUAGUAUGCUAAUAGAAAAUACAGUCGGGAAAAUGAGUGACAACUUGACAUCAGUGGUCCUUGCAGUGUCUGUGAUCACCCUAACGUUGGGAUAUAUUUCUAAACUGGUGCUCAAACAGUCACAAUCUUCUUCAGAAGAACACAAGAAAUACCCACCAUACAUACCUUCUAGCAUUCCAUUUCUGGGUCAUGCCAUAGCAUUUGGGAAAAGUCCCAUUGAAUUUCUGGAGAAUGCAUAUGAAAAGUAUGGGCCCGUUGUCAGCUUUACCAUGGUGGGCAAAACCUUUACCUACCUUCUGGGUAGUGAGGCAGCCACACUGAUGUUCAACAGCAAGAACGAAGAUCUCAAUGCAGAGGAUGUCUAUUCUCGAUUGACCACGCCAGUUUUUGGAAAAGGGGUUGCCUACGAUGUACCUAACCAUAUCUUCCUGGAACAGAAGAAGAUGUUUAAGACAGGACUGAACAUCGCCCAUUUCAAACAGCACGUUGAAAUUAUAGAGGAGGAAACGAAGGAGUACUUUUCACGAUGGGGAGACAGUGGGGAACAAAGUAAGAUGACCGAGCCAUUACAAUUGGUCGGAGUUUCUACAGUAUUCCAUGUGGAAAGUAAUCCAGAGAGCAGUGAUCUCCCAUGCACAUACUCAGAUACUUAACGGGUUACUAAUGACCGCAUCCUUUUGCUUCACACUCUUGAUAGAAUCGGUUUGCAAUUUGUCGCUGUUUAUGAGUACGUCAUAACGCUUGUUUACACGCCAUAACAUUUGAGCCGUAGCGUAGUCAAAGUUAUCCAGUCAGCAAUUCUGACCUCUGUUCUCUCUCCCUCUCUGUCUCACUCAUUCACUAUUUCCAUCCAUCUCCAUCUUCUUAUCUCUUCCGCUCUCUCUCUUUCACACCUUCCUAACACCCCAUCUCUUCUACUCCUCCCUCAGACCUGUUUGAGGCCCUGUCGGAGCUGAUAAUCCUGACGGCCAGUGCCUGUCUGCAUGGGAAGGAGAUCCGCAGCAUGUUGGACGAGAAGGUGGCCCAGCUCUACGCAGACCUGGACGGGGGCUUCAGCCACGCUGCCUGGCUACUGCCCGGCUGGCUGCCCCUGCCCAGUUUCAGACGACGGGACAGAGCACACAGGGAGAUCAAGAACAUCUUCUACAAGGUCACCCAGAAACGCAGAAGCUCUGGAGAGAAAGUGGACGAUAUGCUGCAGACCCUCAUAGAUACCACCUACAAAGAUGGGCGGCCCCUAAAUGAUGAUGAGAUAGCGGGCAUGCUGAUUGGUCUACUCCUGGCCGGACAGCACACAUCUUCCACUACUAGUUCCUGGUUGGGCUUCUUCCUUGGCAAAGAUAAGGCCCUACAGGACCGCUGCUAUGCUGAACAGAAAACUGCAUGUGGAGAAGACUUGCCCCCACUCAACUUUGACCAAGUCAGAAUCCAUAACUGGCAUAUUACCAACUACACGUAAAUGGUCAUAAGACUACACUACAGCUUUGUUGUUGAAAAUAUUAAUUAUGUUCUUAUACUGCCUUACAAGUGUUGACUAUAUUCAAUCCAUUAUAUUAAAUAUAGGUACAUACAUCUUUCUGAAUUAUUUUGUUGAAACUUAUUUAGAUCCGUUUAUUGACCAUAUUCUAUUUAAACUGGGUAAUUUUAUAUUGUAUGUAAGCAACUUCAGUUUAGAACCUUUUUUCUAGACUGCUAAACCCACAAGUUCAGCUUUUCAUUUGGACAGUUUUUAUCAUUUAAAUAUUUGACAUGGUCUUUUACUUACCUGUUCUCUUGUUCAUACAUCAGCUGAAGGACCUGACUUUGUUGGAUCGCUGUUUGAAAGAGACCCUCCGACUCCGUCCACCCAUCAUGACCAUGAUGAGAAUGGCACGCUCUCCUCAGACUGUAGCAGGCUACACCAUCCCAGCUGGUCACCAGGUAUGUGUGUCCCCGACAGUCAACCACCGUCUGCAGGACACUUGGACAGAGAGGAUGGAGUUUAGGCCUGACCGCUACCUUAACGACAACCCUGCUGCAGGGGAGAAAUUUGCCUAUGUGCCCUUUGGUGCAGGCCGUCACCGCUGCAUCGGGGAGAACUUUGCCUACGUUCAGAUCAAGACCAUCUGGUCUACCAUGCUGCGCCUUUACGAGUUCAACCUGGUCGAUGGUUACUUCCCCACAAUCAACUACACAACCAUGAUCCACACCCCACACAACCCCGUCAUCAGAUACAAGAGGAGACAACACUAAGAGACACUGAGCGCAAAAACACAGCAGCGAAAAGAGCAAGGCUUUGUCCAAAAUGGUUUCCUAGUCUAUAUGGUACUACUUUUGGCCAUAGCCUCAUAGGGCUGGCUCUCACAAGGCUCUGGACAAAAGUAGUGCACUAUAUAGGAAAUAGGGAGCCAUUUCAGAUUUGCCCCAACAACCUCACCUUUAACAGUUUUAUUUAGAGAACAUUCUUGUACUUGAAUUUAGGAACUGUUCAAAUUAACGCAGAGUUCUGUCUGAAAAUCUAAUUCACUUUACUUUUUGUUGCCCCCACCUUAUGUUUGCUGUGUUUUUAAUUUGCUAGAAUGUAUUGUAAAUGUAUUGUAAGCCACAGGAGGCUGGUGAGGGGAGGACGGCUCAUAGUAAUGGCUGGAAUGGAUUAGUGUCAAACACAUGGAAACCACUUGUUUGAUGGGAUACCAUUCCACUUGUUCAGUUCCAGCCAUUACUAUGAGCCCGUCCUCUGAUUUAAAGGGACACCAGCCACCAUUGAUGUAAGCCUAAACUGAAUCAGUUAGUUUAUUCAUCAAAAGCUCAUCUUUUGUAGCCUGAUCCCAGAUAUAGUCCAACUACCAUAGGAUUUGGCUAUACAACACAAACCGAUCUGGAACCAGGCCUCAGCUUUUGGCCAUUCUAUUUCAAAAUGUCAUGGUAAUGCAUAUAGCUUUCAAGCUUCCACUGUCUGAAAUGUGAUAUGGAGUCCACUGUGUAGGAGUGAAAAUACUACUGUAAGAAUGAAUAUUACUGGAGUAAAAAAGCACCUAAGCACUGUCUUUUCUAGAGCUGUGAGAAAUAUUAAAACCACUGAUCCUUAUCCAUUGCUUCAUAGAGAUCAGUGAUCAAACCGACCAUCACUGACUUUGUAUGUACUGUCUAUUCAUAAUUGUACAAAGAUAGAGGACCUAGGCUGGGUAAAACAAAGACCAAGGACUUUAAACGGGGAGGGACAACCAGCACUUGCUUAACAAAAGACACAUUUUCUGUUGUGUGCCCUAAUAAACACGACUUGGCAUGUUGGGAGGUCAUAGUGAAGUUUGACCAAUGUAGUGCCUUGAUGAUGGAAAAUUAUUACUCCAUUUUAUUUAGAUUGAUUUUACUGUUUGAAGCCUAAUUUUGUGAACAUUUGUAAAUACAAAUUAUAUCUGAGAUGAUGCCAUGUGAAUUCCA
RNA transcript from Oncorhynchus kisutch (coho salmon), 5313 nucleotides. It is a transcript of the gene named lanosterol 14-alpha demethylase-like, with no coding region annotated. Lineage: Eukaryota; Metazoa; Chordata; Actinopteri; Salmoniformes; Salmonidae. The transcript has 11 exons. The record is from RefSeq and is a predicted model, not a curated record.